CCCCUCUCAGGGUCGCACCUGGAGAGUUUCCAGUACUCUACCAGUCUCAGCUACGAGAAAGAGAGUCAAGCAGAGGCCUACCCAUUCCACUCCUAGCUUGGGCAGUGGCUAGCGAGUGGAAGGCAAUCUGCUACAAGU
RNAcentral lists this small nucleolar RNA (138 nucleotides) under Ornithorhynchus anatinus (platypus). Lineage: Eukaryota; Metazoa; Chordata; Mammalia; Monotremata; Ornithorhynchidae. The record is from RNAcentral.